This 252-nucleotide ribosomal RNA is filed under the name Blastocystis sp. subtype 8. RNAcentral describes it as "partial 18S ribosomal RNA". It matches the Rfam family "Eukaryotic small subunit ribosomal RNA", at positions 57 to 324 of the family's 1831-position model. Lineage: Eukaryota; Bigyra; Opalinata; Blastocystidae. The record is from RNAcentral.
GUGUAAGUAUAAAUAGUUAACUUUGGAACUGCGAAUGGCUCAUUAUAUCGGUUAUAGUUUAUUUGAUGCAAUCUACUACUUGGAUAACCGUAGUAAUUCUAGAGCUAAUACGUGGGAGAGUCCUCAACUUAGGAAGAGGUGUAUUUAUUAGAAUGAAAACCAGUAGACAAGUCUAUUCGUGAGUAAUAAUAACUUAUCAUAUCGCAUGCUUAGGUAGCGAUAUGUCUUUCAAGUUUCUGCCCUAUCAGCUUG